UACAGAGGUCCCAAGCGUUGUUCGGAUUCAUUGGGCGUAAAGGGUGCGUAGGCGGCGGGGCAAGUCUGAUGUGAAAUCCCGGGGCUCAACCCCGGAACUGCAUUGGAUACUGCCUUGCUUGAGUACUGGAGAGGGAACUGGAAUUUACGGUGUAGCAGUGAAAUGCGUAGAGAUCGUAAGGAAGGCCAGUGGCGAAGGCGAGUUCCUGGACAGUGACUGACGCUGAGGCACGAAGGCCAGGGGAGCAAACGGG
This 253-nucleotide ribosomal RNA is filed under the name uncultured bacterium. RNAcentral's name for it is "partial 16S ribosomal RNA". It matches the Rfam family "Bacterial small subunit ribosomal RNA", at positions 524 to 776 of the family's 1533-position model. The record is from RNAcentral.